Molecule: ribosomal RNA, 253 nt
Filed under: uncultured bacterium
Lineage: Bacteria
Description: partial 16S ribosomal RNA
Rfam family: Bacterial small subunit ribosomal RNA
Source: RNAcentral
UAGGAAGGGUGCAAGCGUUAGUCGGAAUUACUCGGAGUAAAGCGUGCGUAGGUGGUUCGUUAAGUCUGAUGUGAAAGAACUGGGCUCAACCUGGGAAUGGCAUUGGAAACUGGCGGACUGGAGUGCGGUAGAAGGUAGCGUAAUUCCCGGUGUAGCAGUGGAAUGCGUAGAGAUCGGGAGGAACAUCCGUGGCGAAGGAGGCUACCUGGACCAGCACUGACAAUGAGGCACGAAAGCGUGGGGAGCAAACAGG